UACAGAGGGUGCAAGCGUUGUUCGGAAUUAUUGGGCGUAAAGGGCGCGUAGGCGGUGCCACAAGUCACCUGUGAAAUCUCCGGGCUUAACUCGGAGCCUGCAGGCGAAACUGUGGUGCUGGAGUGUGGGAGAGGUGCGUGGAAUUCCCGGUGUAGCGGUGAAAUGCGUAGAUAUCAAGUGGAACACCAGUGGCGAAGGCGAGUACCUGGACAACUCCUGACACUGAGGCACGAAAGCUAGGGGAGCAAACAGG
This 253-nucleotide ribosomal RNA is filed under the name uncultured bacterium. RNAcentral's name for it is "partial 16S ribosomal RNA". It matches the Rfam family "Bacterial small subunit ribosomal RNA", at positions 524 to 776 of the family's 1533-position model. The record is from RNAcentral.